AAAACUUACCAGGUCAAGACAUGGGCGUGAUUGACAGGCUAAUGACUUUUCUCGAUUCCAUGGAUGGUGGUGCAUGGUCGCACUUAGUUGGUGCAGUGAUUUGUCAGGUUUAUUCCGGUAACGAACGAGACCUCGGCCUUGUAAAUAGCUAUGCUGCUUACAGGGACAUUGGCGGCUACGCCAAGGAAGCUCGAGGCAAUUGCAGAUCUGGAAUGCCCUUAGAUGUCCUGGGUCGCACGCGUGCUACAAUGACGCCACGAACGAGCUUGCGUGAUGAAAGUUACGCAUAAUCAGCAGUCGGCGUCUUAAGGGAUAGUCUCUUGUAACUGUGGGACUCCAACUAGGAAUGUCUCGUAAGCACAAGUCAACAUCUUGUGUUGAUUACGUCCCUGCUCUUUGUACACACCGCCCGUCGCUCCUACCGAUCGAGUGUUUAGGUGAAUUUGAUGGACGUAAGGAAGUCAAAUAAACCUGAGCACUAGAGAAGAGAAGUCGAGCUG
RNAcentral lists this ribosomal RNA (500 nucleotides) under uncultured Myrionecta. Its description in RNAcentral is "bacterial SSU rRNA". It matches the Rfam family "Eukaryotic small subunit ribosomal RNA", at positions 1210 to 1797 of the family's 1831-position model. The record is from RNAcentral. Lineage: Eukaryota; Ciliophora; Litostomatea; Cyclotrichida; Mesodiniidae.